CAAUAGCGUAUAUUUAAGUUGCUGCAGUUAAAAAGCUCGUAGUUGGAUUUCGGGUGGGAAUGGCCGGUCCGCCGUUUCGGUGUGCACUUGCUACGCCCACCUUGCUGCCGGGGACGUGCUCUUGAGUUCACGCUCGGGACACGGAGUCGGCGAGGUUACUUUGAGUAAAUUAGAGUGUUCAAAGCAGGCCUACGCUCUGAAUACAUUAGCAUGGAAUAACACGAUAGGACUCUGGCCUAUCUUGUUGGUCUGUAGGACCGGAGUAAUGAUAAAGAGGGACAGUCGGGGGCAUUCGUAUUUCAUUGUCAGAGGUGAAAUUCUUGGAUUUAUGAAAGACGAACUACUGCGAAAGCAUUUGCCAAGGAUGUUUUCAUUAA
RNAcentral lists this ribosomal RNA (377 nucleotides) under uncultured eukaryote. RNAcentral describes it as "partial 18S ribosomal RNA". It matches the Rfam family "Eukaryotic small subunit ribosomal RNA", at positions 592 to 976 of the family's 1831-position model. The record is from RNAcentral.